This 423-nucleotide ribosomal RNA is filed under the name uncultured bacterium. RNAcentral describes it as "bacterial SSU rRNA". It matches the Rfam family "Bacterial small subunit ribosomal RNA", at positions 362 to 776 of the family's 1533-position model. The record is from RNAcentral.
UAUUGCACAAUGGGGGAAAGCCUGACGCAGCGACGCCGCGUGAGGGAUGAAGGUCUUCGGAUCGUAAACCUCUGUCAGGAGGGAAGAAGUGGUUAUAUGCGAAUAGUGUAUGACUUUGACGGUACCUCCAAAGGAAGCACCGGCGAACUCCGUGCCAGCAGCCGCGGUAAUACGGAGGGUGCGAGCGUUAAUCGGAAUCACUGGGCGUAAAGCGCGCGUAGGCGGCUUUUCAAGUCAGGGGUGAAAUCCCACGGCCCAACCGUGGAACUGCCUUUGAAACUGUAGAGCUUGAGUGUCGGAGAGGGUGGCGGAAUUCCAGGUGUAGGAGUGAAAUCCGUAGAUAUCAGGAGGAACACCAGUGGCGAAGGCGGCUUGCUGGACGAUGACUGACGUUGAGGCUCGAAAGCGUGGGGAGCAAACAGG